AGUGAACGCUGGCGGUAGGCCUAACACAUGCAAGUCGAACGGCAGCACAGGAGAGCUUGCUCUCUGGGUGGCGAGUGGCGGACGGGUGAGGAAUACAUCGGAAUCUACUUUUUCGUGGGGGAUAACGUAGGGAAACUUACGCUAAUACCGCAUACGACCUACGGGUGUAAGCAGGGGACCUUCGGGCCUUGCGCGAUUGAAUGAGCCGAUGUCGGAUUAGCUAGUUGGCGGGGUAAAGGCCCACCAAGGCGACGAUCCGUAGCUGGUCUGAGAGGAUGAUCAGCGACACUGGAACUGAGACACGGUCCAGACUCCUACGGGAGGCAGCAGUGGGGAAUAUUGGACAAUGGGCGCAAGCCUGAUCCAGCCAUACCGCGUGGGUGAAGAAGGCCUUCGGGUUGUAAAGCCCUUUUGUUGGGAAAGAAAUCCAGCUGGCUAAUACCCGGUUGGGAUGACGGUACCCAAAGAAUAAGCACCGGCUAACUUCGUGCCAGCAGCCGCAGUAA
Molecule: ribosomal RNA, 506 nt
Filed under: uncultured bacterium
Lineage: Bacteria
Description: partial 16S ribosomal RNA
Rfam family: Bacterial small subunit ribosomal RNA
Source: RNAcentral